CCGAUGUAGCUCAGCUGGCUAGAGCAGCUGAUUUGUAAUCAGCAGGUCGUGGGUUCGAGUCCCUCCAUCG
RNAcentral lists this transfer RNA (70 nucleotides) under marine eukaryotic metagenome. It matches the Rfam family "tRNA". From Rfam's summary of the family: Transfer RNA (tRNA) molecules are approximately 80 nucleotides in length. Their secondary structure includes four short double-helical elements and three loops (D, anti-codon, and T loops). Further hydrogen bonds mediate the characteristic L-shaped molecular structure. tRNAs have two regions of fundamental functional importance: the anti-codon, which is responsible for specific mRNA codon recognition, and the 3' end, to which the tRNAs corresponding amino acid is attached (by aminoacyl-tRNA synthetases). tRNAs cope with the degeneracy of the genetic code in two manners: having more than one tRNA (with a specific anti-codon) for a particular amino acid; and 'wobble' base-pairing, i.e. permitting non-standard base-pairing at the 3rd anti-codon position. The record is from RNAcentral.